This 220-nucleotide long non-coding RNA is filed under the name Elaeis guineensis (African oil palm). RNAcentral's name for it is "long non-coding RNA (EGUI_LNC058772)". The record is from RNAcentral. Lineage: Eukaryota; Viridiplantae; Streptophyta; Magnoliopsida; Arecales; Arecaceae.
UCCGGAUCAAUCACCAUCCUCAUGAUGAUUCUAUAAUCGAGAGCAUUUAGAAAUUAAAUAUAUGUCUCUAAUUCUCAACUCUUUGAGAAUAUGUAUCGAAAGUUAAUUUCAUAGAUGAUUCAAAGAUACAUCACACUUGAUGAAGAAUAAAUUUGUCCUUUUAUUGAUCAAAUUAAUAUAUAAAGUAUAAAAUUAUAUCUCAAAUUUAUUAUAAUAUAUC